GGCCGAAAGGCGUAGUCGAUGGGAAACGGGUUAAUAUUCCCGUACUUGGUGUUACUGCGAAGGGGGGACGGAGAAGGCUAUGUUGGCCGGGCGACGGUUGUCCCGGUUUAAGCGUGUAGGUGUGUGUUCCAGGUAAAUCCGGUUCACUUUAACACUGAGGCGUGACGACGAGGCACUACGGUGCUGAAGCAACAAAUGCCCUGCUUCCAGGAAAAGCCUCUAAGCAUCAGGUAACAUCAAAUCGUACCCCAAACCGACACAGGUGGUCAGGUAGAGAAUACCAAGGCGCUUGAGAGAACUCGGGUGAAGGAACUAGGCAAAAUGGUGCCGUAACUUCGGGAGAAGGCACGCUGACACGUAGGUGAAGUGAUUUACUCAUGGAGCUGAAGUCAGUCGAAGAUACCAGCUGGCUGCAACUGUUUAUUAAAAACACAGCACUGUGCAAACACGAAAGUGGACGUAUACGGUGUGACGCCUGCCCGGUGCCGGAAGGUUAAUUGAUGGGGUCAGCGCAAGCGAAGCUCCUGAUCGAAGCCCCGGUAAACGGCGGCCGUAACUAUAACGGUCCUAAGGUAGCGAAAUUCCUUGUCGGGUAAGUUCCGACCUGCACGAAUGGCGUAAUGAUGGCCAGGCUGUCUCCACCCGAGACUCAGUGAAAUUGAACUCGCUGUGAAGAUGCAGUGUACCCGCGGCAAGACGGAAAGACCCCGUGAACCUUUACUAUAGCUUGACACUGAACAUUGAGCCUUGAUGUGUAGGAUAGGUGGGAGGCUUUGAAGUGUGGACGCCAGUCUGCAUGGAGCCGACCUUGAAAUACCACCCUUUAAUGUUUGAUGUUCUAACGUGGACCCGUAAUCCGGGUUGCGGACAGUGUCUGGUGGGUAGUUUGACUGGGGCGGUCUCCUCCUAAAGAGUAACGGAGGAGCACGAAGGUUGGCUAAUCCUGGUCGGACAUCAGGAGGUUAGUGCAAUGGCAUAAGCCAGCUUGACUGCGAGCGUGACGGCGCGAGCAGGUGCGAAAGCAGGUCAUAGUGAUCCGGUGGUUCUGAAUGGAAGGGCCAUCGCUCAACGGAUAAAAGGUACUCCGGGGAUAACAGGCUGAUACCGCCCAAGAGUUCAUAUCGACGGCGGUGUUUGGCACCUCGAUGUCGGCUCAUCACAUCCUGGGGCUGAAGUAGGUCCCAAGGGUAUGGCUGUUCGCCAUUUAAAGUGGUACGCGAGCUGGGUUUAGAACGUCGUGAGACAGUUCGGUCCCUAUCUGCCGUGGGCGCUGGAGAACUGAGGGGGGCUGCUCCUAGUACGAGAGGACCGGAGUGGACGCAUCACUGGUGUUCGGGUUGUCAUGCCAAUGGCACUGCCCGGUAGCUAAAUGCGGAAGAGAUAAGUGCUGAAAGCAUCUAAGCACGAAACUUGCCCCGA
This 1419-nucleotide ribosomal RNA is filed under the name Salmonella enterica. RNAcentral's name for it is "partial 23S ribosomal RNA". It matches the Rfam family "Bacterial large subunit ribosomal RNA", at positions 1400 to 2802 of the family's 2925-position model. Lineage: Bacteria; Pseudomonadati; Pseudomonadota; Gammaproteobacteria; Enterobacterales; Enterobacteriaceae. The record is from RNAcentral.